GACGAACGCUGGCGGCAUGCCUAACACAUGCAAGUCGAACGGAACUUGUUGAAUGAAGUUUUCGGAUGGAUUUUGAUAAGUUUAGUGGCGACGGGUGAGUAACGCGUGAGCAACCUGCCUUUCAGUGGGGGGUCAACAGUUGGAAACGACUGCUAAUACCGCAUAAUGUUAUUUGGGGGCAUCCCCGAAUAACCAAAGAUUUAUUGCUGAAAGAUGGACUCGCGUCUGAUUAGCUAGAUGGCGGGGUAACGGCCCACCAUGGCGACGAUCAGUAGCCGGACUGAGAGGUUGAACGGCCACAUUGGGACUGAGAUACGGCCCAGACUCCUACGGGAGGCAGCAGUGGGGAAUAUUGGGCAAUGGGCGAAAGCCUGACCCAGCAACGCCGCGUGAAGGAAGAAGGUUUUCGGAUUGUAAACUUCUGAUCUAUGGGAAGAAGAAAGUGACGGUACCAUAGGAGAAAGCCACGGCUAACUACGUG
This 481-nucleotide ribosomal RNA is filed under the name uncultured bacterium. Its description in RNAcentral is "bacterial SSU rRNA". It matches the Rfam family "Bacterial small subunit ribosomal RNA", at positions 28 to 507 of the family's 1533-position model. The record is from RNAcentral.